UAGCCCUUCAGAGGGGGACAACAGUUGGAAACGACUGCUAAUACCGCAUACGAUCCAAUCUCGGCAUCGAGACUGGAUGAAAGGUGGCCUCUAUUUAUAAGCUAUCACUGAAGGAGGGGAUUGCGUCUGAUUAGCUAGUUGGAGGGGUAACGGCCCACCAAGGCGAUGAUCAGUAGCCGGUCUGAGAGGAUGAACGGCCACAUUGGGACUGAGACACGGCCCAGACUCCUACGGGAGGCAGCAUG
RNAcentral lists this ribosomal RNA (245 nucleotides) under uncultured bacterium. RNAcentral describes it as "partial 16S ribosomal RNA". It matches the Rfam family "Bacterial small subunit ribosomal RNA", at positions 126 to 353 of the family's 1533-position model. The record is from RNAcentral.